Molecule: non-coding RNA, 126 nt
Filed under: Candidatus Thioglobus
Lineage: Bacteria; Pseudomonadati; Pseudomonadota; Gammaproteobacteria; Pseudothioglobaceae (SeqCode)
Source: RNAcentral
ACACCUGUAUUAAAAAAAGAUAUAAUUUCCUCAAAAUUGGUUAUGGAAGUUGGUGAGAAUCCAACACUGCCCUCGCAACGGUAUUUCUUUGAUUAGUCCGAUACAUCUCAAUUUUUUUUUACUUAA